Molecule: ribosomal RNA, 481 nt
Filed under: uncultured bacterium
Lineage: Bacteria
Description: partial 16S ribosomal RNA
Rfam family: Bacterial small subunit ribosomal RNA
Source: RNAcentral
GACGAACGCUGGCGGCGUGCUUAACACAUGCAAGUCGAACGCUGAAGCUCAGCUUGCUGGGUGGAUGAGUGGCGAACGGGUGAGUAACACGUGAGUAACCUGCCCCCUUCUUUGGGAUAACGCCCGGAAACGGGUGCUAAUACUGGAUAUUCACUGAUCUUCGCAUGGGGGUUGGUGGAAAGGUUUUUUCUGGUGGGGGAUGGGCUCGCGGCCUAUCAGCUUGUUGGUGGGGUGAUGGCCUACCAAGGCUUUGACGGGUAGCCGGCCUGAGAGGGUGACCGGUCACAUUGGGACUGAGAUACGGCCCAGACUCCUACGGGAGGCAGCAGUGGGGAAUAAUGCACAAUGGGCGAAAGCCUGAUGCAGCGACGCCGCGUGAGGGAUGGAGGCCUUCGGGUUGUAAACCUCUUUCGCUCAUGGUCAAGCCGCAACAUUGGUUGUGGUGAGGGUAGUGGGUAAAGAAGCGCCGGCUAACUACGUG